Molecule: ribosomal RNA, 119 nt
Filed under: Prolemur simus (greater bamboo lemur)
Lineage: Eukaryota; Metazoa; Chordata; Mammalia; Primates; Lemuridae
Source: RNAcentral
AUCUAUGGCCGUACCACCCUGAAUGCGCCUGAUCUCAUCUGAUCUCAGAAGCUCAGCAGGGUCAGGCCUGGUUAGUACUUGGAUGGCAGAUAAAUUUUCUUAGAAAAAAAACAUAGAAU